This 253-nucleotide ribosomal RNA is filed under the name uncultured bacterium. Its description in RNAcentral is "partial 16S ribosomal RNA". It matches the Rfam family "Bacterial small subunit ribosomal RNA", at positions 524 to 776 of the family's 1533-position model. The record is from RNAcentral.
UACGUAGGGCGCGAGCGUUGUCCGGAAUUAUUGGGCGUAAAGGGCUCGUAGGCGGUCUGUUGCGUCGGGCGUGAAAACUCAGGGCUUAACCCUGAGCCUGCUUCCGAUACGGGCAGACUAGAGGUAUGCAGGGGAGAACGGAAUUCCUGGUGUAGCGGUGAAAUGCGCAGAUAUCAGGAGGAACACCGGUGGCGAAGGCGGCUCGCUGGACGAUGACUGACACUCAACUGCGAAAGCGUGGGGAGCAAACAGG